Molecule: ribosomal RNA, 422 nt
Filed under: uncultured bacterium
Lineage: Bacteria
Description: partial 16S ribosomal RNA
Rfam family: Bacterial small subunit ribosomal RNA
Source: RNAcentral
AAUCUUCCACAAUGGACGAAAGUCUGAUGGAGCAACGCCGCGUGAGCGAAGAAGGUUUUCGGAUCGUAAAGCUCUGUUGGGGGGGAAGAACAAGUACAGGAGUAACAGUCUAUACCUUGACGGUACCUCAUCAGAAAGCCACGGCUAACUACGUGCCAGCAGCAGCGGUAAUACGUAGGUGGCAAGCGUUGUCCGGAAUUAUUGGGCGUAAAGCGCGCGCAGGCGGCCUUUUAAGUCUGAUUUGAAAGCCCACGGCUUAACCGUGGAAGGUCAUUGGAAACUGAGAGGCUUGAGUACAGAAGAGGAAAGCGGAAUUCCACGUGUAGCGGUGAAAUGCGUAGAGAUGUGGAGGAACACCAGUGGCGAAGGCGGCUUUCUGGUCUGUAACUGACGCUGAGGCGCGAAAGCGUGGGGAGCAAACA